AACGCGAAGAACCUUACCAGCCCUUGACAUGUCCCGUAUGGGGCCGAGAGAUCGGCUUCUUCAGUUCGGCUGGCGGGAACACAGGUGCUGCAUGGCUGUCGUCAGCUCGUGUCGUGAGAUGUUGGGUUAAGUCCCGCAACGAGCGCAACCCUUGUUUGCUGUUGCCAUCAGGUUAUGCUGGGCACUCUGCAAAGACCGCCGGUGAUAAACCGGAGGAAGGUGGGGAUGACGUCAAGUCAGCAUGGCCUUUAUGUCUGGGGCUACACACGUGCUACAAUGGCCGGUACAAACCGUCGCGAGCCCGCGAGGGGGAGCUAAUCGGAAAAAGCCGGUCUCAGUUCGGAUAGCAGGCUGCAACUCGCCUGCUUGAAGUUGGAAUCGCUAGUAAUCGCGGAUCAGCACGCCGCGGUGAAUACGUUCCCGGGCCUUGUACACACCGGUAUCUC
Molecule: ribosomal RNA, 446 nt
Filed under: uncultured bacterium
Lineage: Bacteria
Description: bacterial SSU rRNA
Rfam family: Bacterial small subunit ribosomal RNA
Source: RNAcentral